Molecule: small nucleolar RNA, 121 nt
Filed under: Salmo trutta (river trout)
Lineage: Eukaryota; Metazoa; Chordata; Actinopteri; Salmoniformes; Salmonidae
Description: Small nucleolar RNA SNORD10 (ENSSTUG00000015407.1)
Rfam family: Small nucleolar RNA SNORD10
Source: Rfam by way of RNAcentral
GUUUUAUGAAAUGUGUGUCAACUGAUCCCAGAAUCCCCUGGGCCUGGGUUGGCCUUCUGUCAGCUGGUUGUUACUGGGCCUCAGGGCUCUGGGGGCAUGAUCUGACAGUCACCCUGAAAAC